AGGAAGGUGGGGAUGACGUCAAAUCAGCACGGCCCUUACGUCCGGGGCUACACACGUGUUACAAUGGGGGGUACAGAGGGCCGCUACCACGCGAGUGGAUGCCAAUCCCUAAAACCCCUCUCAGUUCGGACUGGAGUCUGCAACCCGACUCCACGAAGCUGGAUUCGCUAGUAAUCGCGCAUCAGCCACGGCGCGGUGAAUACGUUCCCGGGCCUUGUACACACCGCCCGUCAAGCCAUGGGAGCCGGGGGUACCUGAAGUGCGUAACCGCGAGGAUCGCCCUAGGGUAAAACUGGUGACUGGGGCUAAGUCGUAACAAGGUAGCCGUACCGGAAGGUGCGGCUGGAACACCUCCUUUCUGGAG
This 364-nucleotide ribosomal RNA is filed under the name Bacteroides ovatus. RNAcentral's name for it is "bacterial SSU rRNA". It matches the Rfam family "Bacterial small subunit ribosomal RNA", at positions 1167 to 1533 of the family's 1533-position model. Lineage: Bacteria; Pseudomonadati; Bacteroidota; Bacteroidia; Bacteroidales; Bacteroidaceae. The record is from RNAcentral.